This 500-nucleotide ribosomal RNA is filed under the name uncultured bacterium. Its description in RNAcentral is "partial 16S ribosomal RNA". It matches the Rfam family "Bacterial small subunit ribosomal RNA", at positions 30 to 523 of the family's 1533-position model. The record is from RNAcentral.
AUUGAACGCUGGCGGCAUGCCUUACACAUGCAAGUCGAACGGCAGCACGGGAGCAAUCCUGGUGGCGAGUGGCGAACGGGUGAGUAAAGUAUCGGAACGUGCCCAGUCGUGGGGGAUAACGUAGCGAAAGUUACGCUAAUACCGCAUACGAUCUAUGGAUGAAAGCGGGGGAUCGCAAGACCUCGCGCGAUUGGAGCGGCCGAUAUCAGAUUAGGUAGUUGGUGGGGUAAAGGCUCACCAAGCCGACGAUCUGUAGCUGGUCUGAGAGGACGACCAGCCCCACUGGGACUGAGACACGGCCCAGACUCCUACGGGAGGCAGCAGUGGGGAAUUUUGGACAAUGGGCGAAAGCCUGGUCCAGCCAUGCCGCGUGCAGGAUGAAGGCCUUCGGGUUGUAAACUGCUUUUGUACGGAACGAAAAGGUUUGGCCUAAUAAGCUGCGCUCAUGACGGUACCGUAAGAAUAAGCACCGGCUAACUACGUGCCAGCCGCCGCAGUAA